GGCGCGGAGCAAUUCGACUUGCUGGCACAACAGGUCAGAGGCCUCGUCGAAGCUGUACAAGCAAUGCAGCAGCAGCAACCGCAGGCGUCGGCGCAUCUGGAAGGGGCAUCUCCGGAAUGCCAGAACCCGACGGCGGGGCGGGCCACCUGGGCCAGCCACCCCGUCCUUCCCGGGAAAACAAAUCCGAGGGUAGAGAGCCCUCAAUCGGAUCACGACUCCACCCCUGGAAGAUCCCUGCCCCCGUUCUGCCAAAGGACCCUCGAGACUCGAAGUCGAGAGGAUUUCCUGGACCGGAGGCUCCAGGAGAUGAACCGGCGGAUUGAAGAACUCCGCCACGCGCCC
Molecule: long non-coding RNA, 342 nt
Filed under: Elaeis guineensis (African oil palm)
Lineage: Eukaryota; Viridiplantae; Streptophyta; Magnoliopsida; Arecales; Arecaceae
Description: long non-coding RNA (EGUI_LNC050871)
Source: RNAcentral